AUUGCAGUUCGUACUUUUAGCGCAGUACUUAAGGUGGGAUCUGCCGUUUGAGAUACUGAUUGCCACGGCUCCCUCCAUCGCGAUCCAUCUGCGUUUCUCCCCGUGAUCAGACCGCGGGUUAUUUGCGCAGCACAUGGAGUAGGUGUGGUUGUAAACUCUCCAGUGCGUCUCUCUGCCUUUUUCUUUUUUUCCCUUUUUCCAAACAACGAGCCACGACAUGCAUUACUCCGGGCUGUGCGUUGGGAAAAGGGACUGCCUUCAACCCUUCUUACUCUUUCCGGAGGUCCGCAAAUUAGCCGGAGGCGUGUGAGAAAGACGCACCCCUGCAUGGGGCUGCGCUCGGGCUGAGGAAGGUCACUGCGCCGGGCAGAGUCGCGCCCACACCCGCUCGACGUUUUCGGGGGCUGCGUUUUUAUCCUACAGAUCGGGGAAUGACCGAACUUCGCCUAUUCAAACAGAGAACAAGCCGCAUUUUUAUUUCUUUAUUUCAUUUCUUUUCCUAGAAAAUGGGAAGCACCGUGAUGGACAGUAAGAAAACAGACAUGAAGAAAAAGGUCCCUAAGAAGAGGAGGUCGCUCCGGCUGAACAUGCCCGACCUGAGCUCCCUCACCAUGCCGUUCCUGGAGGGGGACACCGAUGACAAGGACAAGGACGGCUCGCACAAGGGGGCGCCCACGUGCCACUCAGCCAGCCCCACCAAGGGCUUCUUCAGCCGUGGCCCCUUCAGCCGGCCUUCCAGCCCCAUGUCGGCCCCCGCCAGGUCCAGGGUCAGCCCAGGGUCACCCAAGACCAUCUUACCAUACCCCUUCCACCAGGACUCGCCUCCCAAGUCCCCCCGUCGCAUGAGCUUCAGUGGGAUCUUCCGCUCCUCCUCCAAGGACGCCUCCUCCUCCGUCACCUCCACCUCUCCAGUCAGCAUCAAGCUCUUCUCUCGAGCCAGGAAAGCUUCUGGGCUCUCCUCCCCCCCUACGACACCCACCCAAGCAAACAAACAGCCCCCCUUCCCCCUGGAGGGUUGCCAGAAUGAGCCAGAGCAGCGGGAGACCCGGGUGCGCUCCUUCUCGUCACCCCCGGAUACAGGCCAACGUUUCACGCUGCUGUCCGCCAAACCCCCAACACCAGACUCAGCACCUGUCACAACCUCGCGACUCGUCCACGGAUCGGCUGAAGGCAUGUUGGAAAAGCUUGAACUGGAAGAUGAAGCUGUGGAAGAAUCAGAUAGCGAUAUUUACAUGCGCUUCAUGAAGUCCCACAAGUGCUACGACAUCGUACCGACCAGCUCCAAGCUGGUGGUGUUCGACACCACACUGCAGGUUAAGAAGGCCUUCUUCGCCCUGGUGGCCAAUGGCGUCCGUGCCGCUCCGCUGUGGGAGACAAAGAAGCAGAGUUUCGUAGGGAUGCUAACAAUCACAGACUUCAUCAACAUAUUGCACAGAUACUACAAGUCACCCAUGGUACAGAUCUAUGAACUGGAGGAGCACAAAAUCGAGACGUGGAGAGGUAUGUCGGUGUCCGUGAGCUUCUCUCCCGGCUGGGCUGAGCCGAGAUUGCACGAUGAACUUGCUUUCUACUUUCUUGCAGAGCUCUAUCUUCAGGAGACCUUCAAGCCUCUGGUGAACAUCUCCCCAGAUGCAAGCAUCUUUGACGCCGUGUACUCGCUAAUCAAAAAUAAGAUCCACCGGCUGCCCGUCAUUGAUCCUGUGAGUGGGAACGCGCUGUACAUCCUCACACACAAGCGGAUCCUGAAGUUCCUUCAACUCUUUGUUUGCGAGAUGCCGAAACCAGCCUUCAUGAAGCAGACGCUACAGGAGCUGGGCAUCGGCACCUAUGAGAACAUCGCGUUCAUCCACCCUGACACGCCAAUCAUCAAGGCACUCAGCAUCUUUGUGGAGAGGAGGGUGUCUGCCCUGCCUGUGGUGGACGAGUCCGGCAAGGUUGUUGACAUUUAUUCGAAGUUUGAUGUCAUAAACCUUGCGGCCGAGAAGACCUACAACAACCUGGACAUCAGCGUGACACAGGCCCUGCAACACCGCUCGCAGUACUUCGAGGGUGUCAUGAAGUGCAACAGGUUGGAGACGCUGGAGACCAUCGUGGACCGCAUCGUGAAAGCCGAGGUCCAUCGGCUGGUGGUGGUGGACGAAAAGGCCAGAAUCGUGGGCAUUGUGUCCCUGUCGGAUAUCCUGCAAGCCCUCGUGCUCACGCCGGCAGGUAUAGACGCUCAGCAUUCCUGAACCUCUGGAAACCCGAACCGAGCUCCUCCCCCCUCCCUGACCCCUCCCCAUGGGUCCCCACAGCUCGACCCACGACCCACGAAGACUUUGGGACGGUCUGAAGGUGCCAGCAAGAAGGGGAGCGAGGUUGAGUUAUAGACUGCUAUGACUUGAGUGACAUGUGAUGCUGCUGUAGGGGGGGUGACGUCAAGGGUGGAGACAGGGGGCGGGGCCUUGCUGGGGAGCGUUGGGUGGGGGGUGGGGGAUGGAGGGCGCAGUCCCUGAGUUUCAGGUGGCAUGCCGGAACGCAGGGUCUGGAACGUCAAUGGAUGACUGGAACAAUGAAGCAGAGAGCUGUUGGAGAUUUACUCUUUAAUCCUCCCCCUUCUGGCUUCUGUCCCUUUUGGGAGGGGGGGGGAGUCUGUUAUGAUAACCUUGCCAUUUUUAGUACCUCUGUACUCCACUCUCACCUCCACCCUGAAUCAUGGGGACAUAGAGAUUUUUGGGACUGGAGCAGGACAGCAGUUGUCCAGAUUGAGGCCCACAUGUUAGGGCAUGUAUGGGAUCCCCCCCCCCAGGUUUAUACAGGAUUAAGGGGCGGUGAGGGGGCACUGGCCACAUCUCUGUGUCAUGAGUGCCUUCUGUCCUCCAGAGUGUGCCGCUAAAAGGAGAACCUUUGCGAACAGUUCAGAUGAAUGCGAAAGUGGAUUUAAAGCAAGAAUCCGAAACUGUACAAAGUGGAUACGACUGCUGCCUGAUUUAUUUUUCCCCUCGAGCUCUGGGUCUGCAUUUUCAUUAAAUGUCUUUUAAAUAUACUGUAAAAUGAUAAUCAUUCAAAGCUUUAUUUAUUUUUUUUUUUAUAGUGGCGGAUUUCAAUUAACAGGGUUUGGAGGGAAAUGAUGGUUGUACCUGUCUUAUGCAUUAAAAUACUAGUGUGAGAUUUUUAACGAUCAAAGCAAUGCAAUGAGCAGCCGCUGUCUGAAUACCCACAGUGCACCUGUUCUUCGGUUUGUUCGGGGCAUGCAGCAAAAACGAGUGUUUUACCGUUUCAAAGUACUGAUUUUACUGUAAAUAAUAGAAAAGUUCAUAUUGAGGACACUUAAGUGCCAGAGAGGUAUAUUUUUUGUGUACGGAAACGUAAAAUCAUGUUUGUAAAACUACAGAUUUUUUUAUUGUUUUAUUGUAGCGUAUGAUGUUACAGGAGGGAAACUUUUUAUUCGUUGUCAAUUCACAUAACUGGCAUGGAGAUGACAUUAAUGGUAUUGUAGUUCUUUGUUUUUAUUUUGCUGAUUGAGAAAUAAACGAUGCUACUGAACCAACAUACUA
Brienomyrus brachyistius is the source of this 3536-nucleotide RNA transcript. It is a transcript of the gene named protein kinase, AMP-activated, gamma 2 non-catalytic subunit a, with no coding region annotated. The record is from RefSeq and is a predicted model, not a curated record. The transcript has 16 exons. Lineage: Eukaryota; Metazoa; Chordata; Actinopteri; Osteoglossiformes; Mormyridae.